Molecule: long non-coding RNA, 10552 nt
Filed under: Solanum lycopersicum (tomato)
Lineage: Eukaryota; Viridiplantae; Streptophyta; Magnoliopsida; Solanales; Solanaceae
Description: long non-coding RNA (SLYC_LNC000217)
Source: RNAcentral
UCACUUUUAUUAUUAUGAUAUUUAAGCUCCAGCAGUAGUUUUGUUAUAAUUUGCUUGUUAUUCUAGUAGGGUUAUCAUGGGGUCACUUGUAAUCCUAGGUUUUGUGUCCACGUCUUGGGGGUAGGGCAUGACAAAUCUCGUCCUUUCCGACCUCCGACCAGACCCGAAACCCCUUUGCUAUUCUCCUACAAACAACCCGAACAACCACCCAAAACCCCUUUCCCUUUCCCCCUUUGCUAUUCUCCUACAAACAACCCGAACAACCACCCAAAACCCCUUUCCCUUUCUCGCUUUUGCUGCUACAGCAAAACAACAACUAAAACCUCAAACGCAGAGAAAAAACAACCUCCAAAUCCACCCAAAGAACCAGAAUUUAAAACCGGGCUUUCCCCCUUUAUUUUGAUUUUCGUUUGUUUUUGCAGGUUAUAAGAAAUCUUGACCCCCACGGACGAAACCCAAUCUCCGUUCUCCAUUUCUCCGGUUACCAGACCUCCAUUAAACGAGCACCGAGUUCUCAUUCUGAUCGAAUUUUCCAUCUCUAGUGAUUAGCAGAUCCAACUUUUUGCUUUCUCAGGUAAAAGUUGUUUAUUUAUUUUUUUCUUUUGCUGCUUGUUCAGAUUAUUGAGGAUGAACUUAGUAUUACCUUCUAAUUUAAUUUGCAUUUUUUCAUGGUGAUUAGAGCAUCUAUUCAGUUCUAGUGUUUAGAUUGCAGAAUGUUAAGUUAUUAAGUUACUGGUUUUUUGAUAAAUUUUAUGGCUUCUAUUGAGUGAUUAUUAGUUUUCUAUUAUUUUUAUUUUGUUUAAUAUUCAUUGUUCUGGUUUAAUUGUUAUUAUUUUAUUAUAGUUAAUAAUUGUUGGAUGAUUAAUUUUUUAUUUAUUUGUUUCUAUGAUUUGUUAUAGUACACAUUUGUAAUCACUCUUCAUUAUUUUAAUAUAUUGGUAUAAUAGUGAACACUAAAUUUAGUGAGGUUUCUCUUCUUGUUAUUGAGUUUUUUUUAGAAUUGUUAUUUUGCUUAAGCAAGUUUAUUGUGGUGAUGAGUCAUUUAGGUGGCUAGGUUAGUGUUGCUCGCUUUGAACUUGAAGAUAUUAGUAAAGCCAUUUGAUAAGAAUAUUUUCAUGUUUACUUUUGAUCCUUUCUUAUCUUUCAUUGUUUGAAUAAAUUCAUAAACGUUGUUAAUUGAAAUUGACUAAUGAAAAAAAAUCCUUGAUUUUAGAAGUCUCUCUAUUUUAAAAGACAGAAAUUUAAUUUAAUUUCAUAUUUUGUUUAUUAAAAUUGGACGAUUAAGAGAUUACCGUCAAUUUCUAAGGCCUCCUAUGUUAAUAAGAUAAAUUUUUAUUUUUAAGUUAUUAUUUGAUCUAUUCCUAUUUAUUCAUGUUCCUAUAAAGCUAUUCAACUGAAGUUCAAAUUUUAUUCUUUAUUCAUUAUCUUGUAUAUAUCGAUAUUAGGAAAACCUUAAGCUGAUAUUAUUGUUUUAUUUUAGUAUCGUGCAUAUUGCAUGUUUAUUAUACUUGUAUAUUAUUCUUAUCUCCUCCUCAACUAAGUCGGGAACCACCGUUAUGAAUUUCGAAGGAUGUCUAACACCUUCCCUUCAAAAUAACUUGAACCCCCCCUUACCUAGAAUAUGUUGGUUUCGUAGAUAUUUAUUUUAAGUUAAAUUUGUUAAUUGGUUUCCUAGUUUUCCUAAAAACAUAGGUAGCGACUGCCUUUUACCCUUUUUAAGAAUUCUUUUUAAACUGAAUUAUUGUUUUUGGUGUGUCACCGCGAUGUUGCGCUCUCUCAAAAGAUGUCAACAUAUAUGACCUGUUUCAAAAGUCUGUUUCGAUUAAGAAUGCGGUCACACAUAUAUUUUUUAGGACAUUAAGAUUAACUCAAAGAUGCAAUAAUGUACCUUUUCCAAUAAUAUAAUUAUAUUUCACUUAUGUAAAUUGACAAUUUUAUAUAAAAUUAUUAAGUGUGAUGCAAUCUUGGGACAUUAAAAUUAACUCUAGGAUGCAAUAAAACAACAUGUCCAAAAAUAUAAUUAUAUUUCCUUUAUGUAAAAUAAUGUUUUAAGAUAAAAUUAUUAAGCAUGAUGCAAAGAAGAUAAUUAUAUUUCUAAAUAUUAAGACCAAGAAUGUUGUUGUAUCUAGGUCGAGACCAAAUAAAGGUUCAACAAAUAAAAAUGUGAGAAAAUCAUGACCUACAAAAAUAUAUCCAAAAGAUACCUAAAAUAAGUUUAAGUCAAUAAAUGUGAUCGUGUAAGAACCACAGAACUCGAGGGAUGCCUAAUACAUUCUCCUCGGUCAACAAAUUUUUUUACCCCAAAUUUCUAGUUCGCACACCAAAUAAGGUGUCACACCCCGAGCCUACACCCUGGACAGGAUUGUCACUCAGAGACAAUUGUUGUCCUCGAGCAGACCCUUGUUCGGGUUUACUUAAAACAUCAAAAAACUAUAUGCAUUUUUUCAUAAGAUCUAUGAAGCCUCUAAAACCACUGAGAUGCAUGUUGAGACAAAUCCCUCUAGAUCCUAAUGAACUGAACUAGAAAGAAAAUAAAAGAUUCCUCCAGAAUGCAAGAAGGCUCUUUAAUAGACUCCGAAUGCUCAAGCUCGAUCAACAUGUAUCGUGGUUCCCUGCAUCUGCUUCAUAAUAAGAUGCAGACCAACUGACAUCAGUAAAUUGAACAAACGAGUAUGCGAGUUCGAAUGCUAAAACAACAUAGGCUUGAAAGGUAAAUCUGAGAAACUUACCUAGUUCAACUUGACUCAGCAAUAUUGGACUCAUUUCAAUAUAAUAAUUUAAAAGAAAGUGCAAUCUACAGAAAAGUUGUUUAAAACAUGAUGUGAGCUCUGUGUAUACACAAGGAUACAAUAUAACUCUGAAAUAUAUUUAGAAAGACAAAUAACUGUGCAUAUAGAAAUACAAUUACUUUUGUGGAAGUUUCUCGAACCGGAAACAAUUACAUAAGAGCUAUGGUAAUGAUACCCCGAUCUAUCUUAUGCUGCUAGCACAUCCUAUACACGGCCAAAGGUAUAGGACCUGAACUACUAAAUAGAUCCACUAGUUUAUAGUGAAAAGGAUUCAUCUAAAAAGUAUGACCCUUCUCUACCCAUGGUGGCUACAUGGUUAUAUGGAGACGUGAGUUAUCUGAACUCAUGAUCGUCCCCAAUUCGGUGCUCAAUACUACUCCCACAACAGACUAGUACUUACGUUUUAAAAACAUACUUCUUAAUGAUUUGAGAUUAAUGCUAAAAAACAUAGAUCAAAGUCUAUCUUGGAGAUCUCAAUUUCCCGUCUUGCUUUGUUUAUAAAGCUUUUAAUAUUUUCUAAAAACUAGCCCGAAAGGUGUUAGGAAAUCUCAGUUUCCGUUCUUACUUAAAUGUGAAAAUAUUUUAAAUCUCUUUGGGAAUAUCUAGUCCUGUAUAUAUAUUUUUUUUGAGAACAGAACUUCAAUUUCUCUUCACUGAACUAAAAAAUUAUGUCUUAAAUUAAAGUAAAAACAUUUGUGGAAAGAAUUUUGAAAAUGUUGAAUAAACUUCUCUUACUUGACUCUUGACUUUGAUCUUAACUACUCUUGACUUGAGUCUUUACUAAUCAUUUAGUUAAAUUAUGGAUUCAAGGAAUAUGAUUUGUGUUUAAAAAGAUCUCAUGAUGUUUGGGAAUGAUUUUAGAUAGCGCAACAUGAGAAAAGUCACGAAAUCACUCUCUUGGAAAAAAUUUGCGAUGUGGAGAUAUUUUAAGAAAUUACUCGUAAAAUAAAAUUUUGAGGUAGAUGAGUUUGUGUCCUAACCACGACGUGGAGAAACGUUUUUUUCUCACAAGGGGAGAAAGUGUUGCAAACUUGCUUGCCAGAUUGCGCUCGACUUUUACCUUCAUCAUUUAACAGCCCAAAUUCGACUAAACUAGAAUAUUUUCCCAAAUUCAUUUUAGAUUUUGAUACCCAACAUAUGUACUCAAUAACCUAACUCAAUACAACUAUAAAACUCAAUGUUAAGAUCUAAGAAACUCCACAAUUCAAUCCAAACCAAGAGAAACAUUCAAAUUCAAGAAUACAUAUCAAAAACAUCAACUUUCAAACUCUUUUGGGACAAAUUGCACGGAACUGAACAUGGUUGGCACGCGGAUGAACUAAAGCAAUGCUAUGAAGACACACAUACCUUGUAGGAUCAAUUCCUUGGCGAAUCCACAACAAAAAUUAUUCGUCCUUUCUGAUUCUUGUUUUUUCUCUUAACUUUUCUCUUGCGUUCUUUCUCCAAAAUUCCUAAUUCUUUUUUCAAAAGCGUAAACUAGACUAACUAAGUUAUGACCCCAAUAUAUUUACUAAAAACGAAAUUAAUUAGUUGGGCAAGGAAAAGACCAAACUACCUUUCUAAAAUCUACAUUGGCUAAUUCCUUAAUCGAAAAACUCAACUUUCAAAGGACAUAUCUUACUCAUAUGAACUCAAAAUUGCACACUCACCUAGAAGUUAUGGACACUUGAAGUUGACCAAAACUCUACGUUUCAUAACUUAAAAUGAUAAUUUCAAGUUAUAAAAUUCUUUCUAGCUAUUUCAAUUUGUGAGAUGUUACAAUACUCCCCCUUGGAAACAUUCAUCCUCGAAUGAGAUUACUCUUACUAGGCUAAAGGUGGUAACAUCUAGUUUAAACACCAAACGAGGAAAUUAAAACAAACAAUAGGCUCACUCAUAAUUUAAAGAGUACUAAGAAGAAAAUUAGUGCCUUGGUCUGCAUUUUCUCUGGAUUCACAGAUAUGUGGAUAUCUCUUUUUCAUAUCCUCUUCAACUUUCCAAGUGUUCCCUCAACAAAUUGAUUCAUCCAUAGAGCUGUGAUUGAUGUUAAUUCCUUGGUCCUCCUCAACUUGCAAACUUGGAAAUCUAGAAUCUGGACCAAAAACUCUUCAAAACAUAAGUUAUACUUGAUACUAAUAUACUGAGGACUAAGUUUCCCCUUCUAAAAAAACCUCAAUACCACACUUCUUGAGUGCAGCGUUCAAGUAUACUCAAUCAUCUGCUUCAAACCAUCCAAUAGGAUAUGUGUAUCUUAUCCCAUACAGAGCUUCGUAAGGAGCCAUCUGGAUACUAGAAUGGUAACUAUUGUUGUAGGAAAUUUCAAUGAGAGAUAGGUGAUCAUCUCAAUUACCCUUGAAAUCAAUUAUACAAUCUACCUUAAAUACUCAAAACACUAUCUCCUCCUUGUUCAAAAGACACCAACUUUUGCUUAUGAAAACUUGUCUUUAAUUCAAGCAAUAAAGGAUCUUAGUCUUUCUUCUACUCUUAGUUCUGACAAUAAUGAUGAUUCAACCCCAUUCAUCACCACUACCCCUCUUCUAUGAAAAUCCAUUAGUCGAACUCCUAUUCGUGCAAGUCUAUGCACCUCUUUUGCUAACUCUCUCUUACCUUUCUCAAAAUAGGAGGUAUUACCCAUUGAUAACCUGCUCAAGGCAUCAACAACAACAUUAACCUUGCCUGGGUGAUAAAAGAAUAUUCAUGUCAUUAUCUUUAAGUAACUUGAACAACCUCCUCUGUCUAAGAUUAAGCUCUUUCUGACUAAACACACAUCGAAGGUACUAGUGAUUGAUAAACACAUCUUAUGAACUCCAUAAAGAUAAUGGCACCAUAUAUUCACAGCGAAUACUACUGCAACAGACUCUAAGUCAUGGGUUGGGUAACUCUUCUCGUGAACCUUAAACUGGCUUGAGACAUAAGCUAUAACUUUGUCAGUCUGUAUUAACAUACAACAAAAUUAAACUCUAGAUGCAUCACAAUACACGACAAAACCUUGAGUACCUUUUGGUACGGUCAAAACUAGGCACUAGUCAACCUCUUUUUCUAUUCUUGAAAGAUUUUCUCACAAGCUUCAGACUAUUGAAACUUAAUUGUCUUCUUAUUCAACUUGGUAAAAGGAUAUGAAAUAGAAGUACCCCUCUAUGAACUUUCUAUAGUAGCCAGCAUAUCCCAAGAAACUACUAAUAUCAGUCGUAGAUGUGGGUCUAGGCCAACUCUGCACUACCUCUAUCUUUUGGGUAUCAACUCUAAUUCAAUCACCAGACACUAUGUGGACUAAGAACGCCACAAACUCAAGCCAAAACUCAUAUUUAGAGAACUUAGCAUAUAAAUCAUUAUCUUUCAAAGUAUGAAAAAUAUUCUGAGAUGUCUAGCAUGAUCUUCUCCAUUUCUCGAAUAGAUUAGAAUGUCAUCAAUGAAGACGAUAACAAACAUAUCUAAGUAAGGCUUGAAUAAACUAGUCAUAAGGUGCAUGAAUGUUGUUGGUGCAUUACUGAACCCAAAGGACAUGACUAAAAACUCAAAAUGACUACAUCGACAUCUGAAAGUUGUCUUUAGAAUAUCACAUUCCCUUAAUCUCAAUUGAUGGUAGCCAGAUCUGAUAUCUAUCUUAGAAAAAUAGGUGGCACCCUGAAUUUGAUCGAAUAAAUCAUUAAUCCUUUGAAGAUGAUACUUGUUCUUGAUGGUAACCUUUUUCAAUUUACGAUUGUCUAUACACAUCCUAAGGGAACCAUUUUUAUUUCUCACAAACAAGACCGGAGGGCCCCAAGGUGAGAUAAUUGGUCGAAAGAAACCCUUAUCUAAUUGAUCCUUUAACUUCUCUGUAAGCUCUUUCAAUUCUGCUAGUGCCAUUCUGUAUGACGAAAUAGAUAUAGGAUGAGUAUCUGGAAGAACAUCUAUACCGAAGCCUAUCUCACUCUCAGGAGAAAAUCUAGUAAUAUCGUCUAAACAGACCUCUGGAAACUCUUUUACUACUAGAGGUACCUCAACACUUGAGUCAUUAACUCGGACCAAGUAAUAGACACACCCUUUAGAAACUAACUUACUUUCUUUAAGGUACAAAAUGAAAUGACCCUUAGACACUAAUGAACGGCUUUUCCACUCUAAGACUGGCUCAUUUGGAGACUAAACAUGACUAUUCGAGUUCUAUAAUCAAGUGAGGCAGAAUAGGCAUGAAUCCAAUCCAUAUUGAGAUCGACUUCAAAACUACCAUAUCUAACUAAGUGAAAUCAUCCAUGGUACUCUUGUGAUUGAUGAAAAUGGGAAAAUCACAAUAUAUUCUCUCUGCUAGAAUGGACUCACCAAAAGGUGAAGAAACAUUUAACGGUUAAGUAAGUUCCUUAGGAAUAAUAUCAAAGUGUAACACCUUGAAAAUCAAAGACACAUUGUAAGGCCUAACAUAGGUGUCAUGACGUCUAAGUACUAUUAUAAUUUCAUUUUAAAUAAAUAUAGGUCAUUUAUAAGGGACGUCCAUUACGUUCAAAAAGUUGGUUCAAAGGGAUGUUAGUGUGCAUUAGCCUAUUUGACUAACUUUUAGGAGUCAGAAAUGUAAAAAAAUUGGUGGAAAGAUAGAUAAUAAGUGUUUGAGUGGCUUCAUGGUUGAAACGUCCGGGUACAACUCCCCAAAGACCAACCAAGGGCCCUUGAGGAGGACUCUUGUAGUUUGAUACAACACUGCCUGGCAAUGUGCAUCAACGGGACAGAAGACGUCCCAUGUGUGGACGGAAGUGGCGUCAAUGUCACCGUCAUCCCACACUUAGGCUGGUAGAGAAGGCCCUUUCACCCACACAACCUCUGAACUCAUUUGACGGAGUGCAAAGGUGCAGACUACGGCUCGUAUCUGGAUCGACGGGGCGUCGAUGCCAUCGUCGUCCCACACUUAAACAAUUUGAGAAAUCCCCUCACCUGCACAGUCCGACGGUUAAACAAUUUGAGAAAUCCCCUCACCUGCACAGUCCGACGGUUAAACAAUUUGAGAAAUCCCCUCACCUGCACAGUUCGACGGUUAAACAAUUUGAGAAAUCCCCUCACCUGCACAGUCUCUACAAAGAAGAAGGAGUGCAGGACGGAGGGGGGAUGUCCGUCGACUCACAUAAGGUCCGUCGAUCGGGGUUUCGUCUAUAAGGGUUGAGUUUUCUACCUAAUUUAAGUUGGUCUUAUUUAUUUAAUUAAGUGGUUUAGGGAUUAGUUGGGGAUUAAAUGGAGACUAAUUAACUUAUUAAGUCCCAUUAUAAAUACCCUCAACUCUCAUUAACCUAAAAACAACUCUCACAUGAACUCACUUCCUUCUCUCUUAUCUCUCUCUCUACAUGAACUCACCAUUGAAGACUAGCAAGGACAAGGGUUUCGAGGUUGGAAAGGGAAAAAUUCACCAUCAAAUUGUUGACAAACGUUAAGGUAUGGGUUAUAUUCACCUUUGAGACUCUUUCCUCAAAGGGUUCCUUCAAAAAUAUAUUUCAAAAGUUGAGUUUUCCUAUGGGUUUAAAGUUAUAGAUUGAGUUGUUAAUGAUUUCUUAGGGUUAUAUUGAGUAUAUUAAUAUUUAAUUCAACUUUUUUAUGGUAAUUGUUGAUGGUUUGGUCUAAAUAUAAGGAUAUGAUCCUAUAUCCCUAACCCUAGGUAUUUAUCUUGACCUAUAUUGUAUUGUGAUCAUUCAAUUGAGUAGGUUGUUGAUUUGAUUACUAUCCUAUCAUGCUAGUUCUUGAGAUGAGAUUUAGGUUAUGAAUUAAAAUGUGAAAUUAGCCUAUGUAUCUUGUCACAAGUUAUGAUCUAGAGUUGAAUUGUGUUAUAGAGAUGCAAUUCGCCUUGUUAUAAUAUUGGUUAUCAUUAUGUGAUAAUGUUACUCCAUAAAUUGGGUUGAGUUAUGGGUUGAUGGUAAGACCUUGAUGAUAGACUACGAGGAAGACUAGGUAAGUCUUAGAAUCUCUAUCUUUACUUCCAAUUGUGAUUAGUUGUUGUUAAGUCAAGAUAUUGCAUUGUAGUAUGCCUUAUACUAGGAUUAUAGGGUUGUAUGAUGUUGAAUUGAAAUGUCGUGACCAUGUUGUGAGGUUGAUUAAGGUGUAUGUCAUAUAAGGAUGGAGAAAACUAUCAAUGUGCCUUAAUAUGAUAUGAAAUUCUAAUAUGUUAACCUCACUUAUAUGAAUUGUGAUGCAAGGACUUAUACUCAUACAAUUCUUAUUGAGCUAUUGAUGAUGAUGAUUAUAUAAGGGGUAUACCCUAUGAACUAAAUUAAGCUAUGAUUUUUAAUUAAAGGCUUAAAGACAUUUCAAAAAGGGACUCUAGCUUAGCACCGAGUGAACUAGAUUGUGGAGUGUCCUUUCUCACAUAGGAAAGGUAGGAACACUACAUUACUCUUGAGAUUGGAGACUAUAAUGCAUGGCGCAUAAAGAGGGUCCCAACUAUAUCUCUAGUUCUUGAACUAUGUUUCCCCCAUAUGAAUACUAGCUAGUGGAUCCACGUAGUUGCUAUGUUUCAUGUUUUGGUACUACCUUGGCAAGUAGUACGCCUUUUUUCGGUGUAGGGUUUUAUGACACCAUAUUCCACACUAGGUCAUGUGGUCUAUGUCAGUUAGGGAAAGAUGUUCCCAAAAGGUAAAAUGAAUUAAAGGACUCGAACUCUAACUUGGAUAACCUAAGGGGUCUAGCUUAGUCUAGGUAAGGGUAUGAGACUCUACCUAAAUAUUGCACUAGUUAGACUUGGGGGAGUCUUAGGAGAAGAUUCUUAUAUAUGUUUAUGUUAUGAUAAUAUAUGAUGUAUAUAUGAUGACAAUGACACAUUGUUGAUACUAUAUGAUGAUCAGUUCAUUUAUGAAUAUGCCUUGAGUUACAAUGUUAAUAUAUGAUGUAAUGUAAACCUAAAUGCCAUGAUAUGUAAAGUUGGACAUUCGACAUGUAUUCUUGUUGAGGAUACUUGAUUGAGUAAGGUUAUGGGGCUUUGCUUGGUCAUUGUACUUCUUGACUUGAUAAGAACUUAUGAGUAGUUAUCUUGCUUAUUAUCAUAUUGUUUGACUCUUAUUCAUUCUUGUGAUAGUAUUCCUUGAUGUUAGGGUUGUAGUAAAUCAUGGUUUCAAGUAUGUUGGGAUAAGUGUUACUUGUUGAGAUUGUAAGCAUGUUUGGUUGAUUGAUAUGACUUACUUGACUUUGCAUUAAGUCCCUAGAAGGGUAAAAUAACAUGUUUUGACAAAAAGUCCCUUUUAGCAUGUUUUGCUUUUGUAUGUGCAUAAGAUCCCAUACUUAGUAUAUGUGGAGUACUAACCCCAUUUUCUUUUCUUUUUCCCAAACAUUUUAGGUUUCGGUCAUUGAAGAGUUUGAAAGGCGACGUUGUUGAAGGCUUGGAUUCUUUCUUUCAUCCAAGUAGGGAAGAUCCUCAUCUUUCGAGGGCAAUUCCAUCCUCUAGCUUACGGAUUUUGUUAUGAGCUUAUUUACUCUUUCAUUCCUUUCCUUUUUGAUUGAGUAUUGUACUUUUGUAUGACCUAUAUAUGUCUUGUUGGAUUGAUGUAAGGGCUAUGCCCAUAUUUUGAUAUUUGUUUAGAUGGUAUGAGAUGAGACAAACGUUGAGACUAUUUCUAUAUUUUACGUAUAUAUAUAUGUGCAAUAAAAGUAGAAGGCUAUGUAUCUUCCUAUACGAAGGGUCUAUGUAUACUCGAUUUGAAUAUAUAUUAUGUGUAUGUAGAUGUCAAUGUAAACCUCCAAGUAGUGAUAAUGAACAUUUUAAAUUUUUUUGCAAUUUUUCAACCGAUGAAUGUAAUGACAUGAAACUAAGAGGCUAGUAUUAGUCCUUGAAAAAGACGACG